RNAcentral lists this ribosomal RNA (512 nucleotides) under uncultured bacterium. RNAcentral describes it as "partial 16S ribosomal RNA". It matches the Rfam family "Bacterial small subunit ribosomal RNA", at positions 28 to 507 of the family's 1533-position model. The record is from RNAcentral.
GAUGAACGCUGGCGGCGUGCCUAAUACAUGCAAGUCGAACGAAACUUCUUUAUCACCGAUUGCUUGCACUCACCGAUAAAGAGUUGAGUGGCGAACGGGUGAGUAACACGUGGGCAACCUGCCCCAAAGAGGGGGAUAACACUUGGCAACAGGUGCUAAUACCGCAUAACCAUAGUUACCGCAUGGUAACUAUGUAAAAGGUGGCUAUACUACCGCUUUUGGAUGGGCCCGCGGCGCAUUAGCUAGUUGGUAGGGUAAAGGCUUACCAAGGCAAUGAUGCGUAGCCGAAUUGAGAGGUUGAUCGGCCACAUUGGGACUGAGACACGGCCCAAACUCCUACGGGAGGCAGCAGUAGGGAAUCUUCCACAAUGGGCGAAAGCCUGAUGGAGCAACGCCGCGUGGGUGAAGAAGGUCUUCGGAUCGUAAAACCCUGUUGUUAGAGAAGAAAGUGCGUGAGAGUAACUGUUCACGUUUCGACGGUAUCUAACCAGAAAGCCACUGCUAACUACGUG